Non-coding RNA from Xyrichtys novacula (pearly razorfish), 37533 nucleotides. The record is from the annotation of a GenBank genome assembly. NCBI's taxonomy places the organism in Eukaryota, Metazoa, Chordata, Actinopteri, Labriformes, Labridae.
CAUCUUACAGUCCACAGCUCUACCAACUAAGCUAUCAAGGUGCUCUCUAGUCACAAGUGCAGAAAACAUAGUGGCUUCGAAGACACACUAUGCCCACAGAACUAUUCCAACCCAUGGUCAAUGAAAAGCCCAGCCCUACCUGACGAACAAAGCUUUGCAGUUUGUACCCAACAGUCAUUGCCAGGGACCCAGAACUGAUAAUCAGGACUUUUAGGCUGGGUGAAUAAAAAAUUGAUGGUUGAAAAUUUAAGAAAGAGUUAACUUGUUUGUGUUUUUACAUUUUGGAGGAGUUGACAGAUAAAGACAAGGCUUGGGGGAAUUUCCAAUGACAAGGAGGUGCUUCCGGCUGGAGUUGAACCAGCGACGUUAGGAUCACAGCGUUUCACACAAGGAGCAUCUUACAGUCCACUGCUCUACCAACUGAGCUAUCAAGGUGCUCUAUACUCACAAGUGCAGAAAACAUAGUGGCUUCGAAGACACACUAUGCCCACAGAACUAUUCCAACCCAUGGUCAAUGAAAAGCCCAGCCCUACCUGCAGAACAAAGCUUUGCAGUUUGUACCCAACAGUCAUUGCCAGGGACCCAGAACUGAUAAUCAGGACUUUUAGGCUGGGUGAAUAAAAAAUUGAUGGUUGAAAAUUUAAGAAAGAGUUAUCUUGUUUGUGUUUUUACAUUUUGGAGGAGUUGACAGAUAAAGACAAGGCUUGGGGGUAUUUCCAAUGACAAGGAGGUGCUUCUGGCUGGAGUUGAACCAGCGACCUUAGGAUCACAGCAUUCCCCACAAGGAGCAUCUUACAGUCCAACGCUCUACCAACUGAGCUAUCAAGGUGCUCUCAAGUCACAAGUGCAGAAAACAUAGUAGCUUCGAAGACACACUAUGCCCACAGAACUAUUCCAACCCAUGGUCAAUGAAAAGCCCAGCCCUACCUGACGAACAAAGCUUUGCAGUUUGUACCCAACAGUCAUUGCCAGGGACCCAGAACUGAUAAUCAGGACUUUUAGGCUGGGUGAAUAAAAAAUUGAUGGUUGAAAAUUUAAGAAAGAGUUAUCUUGUUUGUGUUUUUACAUUUUGGAGGAGUUGACAGAUAAAGACAAAGCUUGGGGGUAUUUCCAAUGACAAGGAGGUGCUACCGGCUGGAGUUGAACCAGCGACCUUAGGAUCAAGGCAUUUCACACAAGGAGCAUCUUACAGUCGACCGCUCUACCAACUGAGCUAUCAAGGUGCUCUCUAGUCACAAGUGCAGAAAACAUAGUGGCUUCGAAGACACACUAUGCCCACAGAACUAUUCCAACCCAUGGUCAAUGAAAAGCCCAGCCCUACCUGACGAACAAAGCUUUGCAGUUUGUACCCAACAGUCAUUGCCAGGGACCCAGAACUGAUAAUCAGGACUUUUAGGCUGGGUGAAUAAAAAAUUGAUGGUUGAAAAUUUAAGAAAGAGUUAUCUUGUUUGUGUUUUUACAUUUUGGAGGAGUUGACAGAUAAAGACAAGGCUUGGGGGUUUUCCAAUGACAAGGAGGUGCUUCCGGCUGGAGUUGAACCAGCGACCUUAGGAUCACAGCGUUUCACACAAGGAGCAUCUUACAGUCCACCGCUCUACCAACUGAGCUAUCAAGGUGCUCUCUAGUCACAAGUGCAGAAAACAUAGUGGCUUCGAAGACACACUAUGCCCACAGAACUAUUCCAACCCAUGGUCAAUGAAAAGCCCAGCCCUACCUGACGAACAAAGCUUUGCAGUUUGUACCCAACAGUCAUUGCCAGGGACCCAGAACUGAUAAUCAGGACUUUUAGGCUGGGUGAAUAAAAAAUUGAUGGUUGAAAAUUUAAGAAAGAGUUAUCUUGUUUGUGUUUUUACAUUUUGGAGGAGUUGACAGAUAAAGACCAGGCUUGGGGGUAUUUCCAAUGACAAGGAGGUGCUUCCGGCUGGAGUUGAACGAGCGACCUUAGGAUAACUGCGUUUCACACAAGGAGCAUCUUACAGUCGACUGCUCUACCAACUGAGCUAUCAAGGUGCUCUCUAGUCACAAGUGCAGAAAACAUAGUGGCUUCGAAGACACACUAUGCCCACAGAACUAUUCCAACCCAUGGUCAAUGAAAAGCCCAGCCCUACCUGACGAACAAAGCUUUGCAGUUUGUACCCAACAGUCAUUGCCAGGGACCCAGAACUGAUAAUCAGGACUUUUAGGCUGGGUGAAUAAAAAAUUGAUGGUUGAAAAUUUAAGAAAGAGUUAUCUUGUUUGUGUUUUUACAUUUUGGAGGAGUUGACAGAUAAAGACAAGGCUUGGGGGUAUUUCCAAUGACAAGGAGGUGCUUCCGGCUGGAGUUGAACCAGCGACCUUAGGAUCAAGGUUUUCACACAAGGAGCAUCUUACAGUCCACCGCUCUACCAACUGAGCUAUCAAGGUGCUCUCUAGUCACAAGUGCAGAAAACAUAGUGGCUUCGAAGACACACUAUGCCCACAGAACUAUUCCAACCCAUGGUCAAUGAAAAGCCCAGCCCUACCUGACGAACAAAGCUUUGCAGUUUGUACCCAACAGUCAUUGCCAGGAACCCAGAACUGAUAAUCAGGACUUUUAGGCUGGGUGAAUAAAAAAUUGAUGGUUGAAAAUUUAAGAAAGAGUUAUCUUGUUUGCGUUUUUACAUUUUGGAGGAGUUGACAGAUAAAGACAAGGCUUGGGGGUAUUUCCAAUGACAAGGAGGUGCUUCCGGCUGGAGUUGAACCAGCGACCUUAGGAUCACAGCGUUUCACACAAGGAGCAUCUUACAGUCCACAGCUCUAACAACUGAGCUAUCAAGGUGCUCUCUAGUCACAAGUGCAGAAAACAUAGUGGCUUCGAAGACACACUAUGCCCACAGAACUAUUCCAACCCAUGGUCAAUGAAAAGCCCAGCCCUACCUGCAGAACAAAGCUUUGCAGUUUGUACCCAACAGUCAUUGCCAGGGACCCAGAACUGAUAAUCAGGACUUUUAGGCUGGGUGAAUAAAAAAUUGAUGGUUGAAAAUUUAAGAAAGAGUUAUCUUGUUUGUGUUUUUACAUUUUGGAGGAGUUGACAGAUAAAGACAAGGCUUGGGGGUAUUUCCAAUAACAAGGAGGUGCUUCCGGCUGGAGUUGAACCAGCGACCUUAGGAUCACAGCGUUUCACACAAGGAGCAUCUAACAGUCCACCGCUCUACCAACUGAGCUAUCAAGGUGCUCUAUACUCACAAGUGCAGAAAACAUAGUGGCUUCGAAGACACACUAUGCCCACAGAACUAUUCCAACCCAUGGUCAAUGAAAAGCCCAGCCCUACCUGACGAACAAAGCUUUGCAGUUUGUACCCAACAGUCAUUGCCAGGGACCCAGAACUGAUAAUCAGGACUUUUAGGCUGGGUGAAUAAAAAAUUGAUGGUUGAAAAUUUAAGAAAGAGUUAUCUUGUUUGUGUUUUUACAUUUUGGAGGAGUUGACAGAUAAAGACAAGGCUUGGGGGUAUUUCCAAUGACAAGGAGGUGCUUCCGGCGGAGUUGAACCAGCGACCUUAGGAUCACAGCGUUUCACACAAGGAGCAUCUAACAGUGCACCUCUCUACCAACUGAGCUAUCAAGGUGCUCUCUAGUCGCAAGUGCAGAAAACAUAGUGGCUUCGGAGACACACUAUGCCCACAGAACUAUUCCAACCCAUGGUCAAUGAAAAGCCCAGCCCUACCUGCAGAACAUAGCUUUGCAGUUUGUACCCAACAGUCAUUGCCAGGGACCCAGAACUGAUAAUCAGAACUUUUAGGCUGGGUGAAUAAAAAAUUGAUGGUUGAAAAUUUAAGAAAGAGUUAUCUUGUUUGUGUCUUUACAUUUUGGAGGAGUUGACAGAUAAAGACAAGGCUUGGGGGUAUUUCCAAUGACAAGGAGGUGCUUCCGGCUGGAGUUGAACCAGCGACGUUAGGAUCACAGCGUUUCACACAAGGAGCAUCUUACAGUCCACCGCUCUACCAACUGAGAUAUCAAGGUGCUCUCUAGUCACAAGUGCAGAAAACAUAGUGGCUUCGGAGACACACUAUGCCCACAGAACUAUUCCAACCCAUGGUCAAUGAAAAGCCCAGCCCUACCUGACGAACAAAGCUUUGCAGUUUGUACCCAACAGUCAUUGCCAGGGACCCAGAACUGAUAAUCAGGACUUUUAGGCUGGGUGAAUAAAAAAUUGAUGGUUGAAAAUUUAAGAAAGAGUUAUCUUGUUUGUGUUUUUACAUUUUGGAGGAGUUGACAGAUAAAGACAAGGCUUGGGGGUAUUUCCAAUGACAAGGAGGUGCUUCCGGCUGGAGUUGAACCAGCGACCUUAGGAUCACAGCGUUUCACACAAGGAGCAUCUUACAGUGCACCGCUCUACCAACUGAGCUAUCAAGGUGCUCUCUAGUCACAACUGCAGAAAACAUAGUGGCUUCGAAGACACACUAUGCCCACAGAACUAUUCCAACCCAUGGUCAAUGAAAAGCCCAGCCCUACCUGACGAACAAAGCUUUGCAGUUUGUACCCAACAGUCAUUGCCAGGGACCCAGAACUGAUAAUCAGGACUUUUAGGCUGGGUGAAUAAAAAAUUGAUGGUUGAAAAUUUAAGAAAGAGUUAUCUUGUUUGUGUUUUUACAUUUUGGAGGAGUUGACAGAUAAAGACAAAGGUUGGGGGUAUUUCCAAUGACAAGGAGGUGCUUCCGGCUGGAGUUGAACCAGCGACGUUAGGAUCACGGCAUUUCACACAAGGAGCAUCUUACAGUCCACCGCUCUACCAACUGAGCUAUCAAGGUGCUCUCUAGUCACAAGUGCAGAAAACAUAGUGGCUUCGAAGACACACUAUGCCCACAGAACUAUUCCAACCCAUGGUCAAUGAAAAGCCAAGCCCUACCUGACGAACAAAGCUUUGCAGUUUGUACCCAACAGUCAUUGCCAGGGACCCAGAACUGAUAAUCAGGACUUUUAGGCUGGGUGAAUAAAAAAUUGAUGGUUGAAAAUUUAAGAAAGAGUUAUCUUGUUUGUGUUUUUACAUUUUGGAGGAGUUGACAGAUAAAGACAAGGCUUGGGGGUAUUUCCAAUGACAAGGAGGUGUUUCCAGCUGGAGUUGAACCAGCGACCUUAGGAUCACAGCGUUUCACACAAGGAGCAUCUUACAGUCCACCGCUCUACCAACUGAGCUAUCAAGGUGCUCUCUAGUCACAAGUGCAGAAAACAUAGUGGCUUCGAAGACACACUAUGCCCACAGAACUAUUCCAACCCAUGGUCAAUGAAAAGCCCAGCCCUACCUGACGAACAAAGCUUUGCAGUUUGUACCCAACAGUCAUUGCCAGGGACCCAGAACUGAUAAUCAGGACUUUUAGGCUGGGUGAAUAAAAAAUUGAUGGUUGAAAAUUUAAGAAAGAGUUAUCUUGUUUGUGUUUUUACAUUUUGGAGGAGUUGACAGAUAAAGACAAAGGUUGGGGGUAUUUCCAAUGACAAGGAGGUGCUUCCGGCUGGAGUUGAACCAGCGAACUUAGGAUCACGGCAUUUCACACAAGGAGCAUCUUACAGUCCACCGCUCUACCAACUGAGCUAUCAAGGUGCUCUCUAGUCACAAGUGCAGAAAACAUAGUGGCUUCGAAGACACACUAUGCCCACAGAACUAUUCCAACCCAUGGUCAAUGAAAAGCCCAGCCCUACCUGACGAACAAAGCUUUGCAGUUUGUACCCAACAGUCAUUGCCAGGGACCCAGAACUGAUAAUCAGGACUUUUAGGCUGGGUGAAUAAAAAAUUGAUGGUUGAAAAUUUAAGAAAGAGUUAUCUUGUUUGUGUUUUUACAUUUUGGAGGAGUUGACAGAUAAAGACAAGGCUUGGGGGUAUUUCCAAUGACAAGGAGGUGCUUCCAGCUGGAGUUGAACCAGCGACCUUAGGAUCACAGCGUUUCACACAAGGAGCAUCUUACAGUCCACCGCUCUACCAACUGAGCUAUCAAGGUGCUCUCUAGUCACAAGUGCAGAAAACAUAGUGGCUUCGAAGACACACUAUGCCCACAGAACUAUUCCAACCCAUGGUCAAUGAAAAGCCCAGCCCUACCUGACGAACAAAGCUUUGCAGUUUGUACCCAACAGUCAUUGCCAGGGACCCAGAACUGAUAAUCAGGACUUUUAGGCUGGGUGAAUAAAAAAUUGAUGGUUGAAAAUUCAAGAAAGAGUUAUCUUGUUUGUGUUUUUACAUUUUGGAGGAGUUCACAGAUAAAGACAAGGCUUGGGGGUAUUUCCAAUGACAAGGAGGUGCUUCCGGCUGGAGUUGAACCAGCGACCUUAGGAUCACAGCGUUUCACACAAGGAGCAUAUUACAGUCGACUGCUCUACCAACUGAGCUAUCAAGGUGCUCUCUAGUCACAAGUGCAGAAAACAUAGUGGCUUCGAAGACACACUAUGCCCACAGAACUAUUCCAACCCAUGGUCAAUGAAAAGCCCAGCCCUACCUGACGAACAAAGCUUUGCAGUUUGUACCCAACAGUCAUUGCCAGGGACCCAGAACUGAUAAUCAGGACUUUUAGGCUGGGUGAAUAAAAAAUUGAUGGUUGAAAAUUUAAGAAAGAGUUAUCUUGUUUGUGUUUUUACAUUUUGGAGGAGUUGACAGAUAAAGACAAGGCUUGGGGGUAUUUCCAAUGACAAGGAGGUGCUUCCGGCUGGAGUUGAACCAGCGAUCUUAGGAUCACUGCGUUUCACACAAGGAGCAUCUUACAGUCCACAGCUCUAACAACUGAGCUAUCAAGGUGCCCUCUAGUCACAAGUGCAGAAAACAUAGUGGCUUCGAAGACACACUAUCCCCACAGAACUAUUCCAACCCAUGGUCAAUGAAAAGCCCAGCCCUACCUGACGAACAAAGCUUUGCAGUUUGUACCCAACAGUCAUUGCCAGGGACCCAGAACUGAUAAUCAGGACUUUUAGGCUGGGUGAAUAAAAAAUUGAUGGUUGAAAAUUUAAGAAAGAGUUAUGUUGUUUGUGUUUUUACAUUUUGGAGGAGUUGACAGAUAAAGACAAGGCUUGGGGGUAUUUCCAAUGACAAGGAGGUGCUUCCGGCUGGAGUUGAACCAGCGACCUUAGGAUCACGGCGUUUUACACAAGGAGCAUCUUACAGUCCACCGCUCUACCAACUGAGCUAUCAAGGUGCUCUCUAGCCACAAGUGCAGAAAACAUAGUGGCUUCGAAGACACACUAUGCCCACAGAACUAUUCCAACCCAUGGUCAAUGAAAAGCCCAGCCCUACCUGACGAACAAAGCUUUGCAAUUUGUACCCAACAGUCAUUGCCAGGGACCCAGAACUGAUAAUCAGGACUUUUAGGCUGGGUGAAUAAAAAAUUGAUGGUUGAAAAUUUAAGAAAGAGUUAUCUUGUUUGUGUUUUUACAUUUUGGAGGAGUUUACAGAUAAAGACAAGGCUUGGGGGUAUUUCCAAUGACAAGGAGGUGCUUCCGGCUGGAGUUGAACCAGCGACCUUAGGAUAACUGCGUUUCACACAAGGAGCAUCUUACAGUCGACUGCUCUACCAACUGAGCUAUCAAGGUGCUCUCUAGUCACAAGUGCAGAAAACAUAGUGGCUUCGAAGACACACUAUGCCCACAGAACUAUUCCAACCCAUGGUCAAUGAAAAGCCCAGCCCUACCUGCAGAACAAAGCUUUGCAGUUUGUACCCAACAGUCAUUGCCAGGGACCCAGAACUGAUAAUCAGGACUUUUAGGCUGGGUGAAUAAAAAAUUGAUGGUUGAAAAUUUAAGAAAGAGUUAUCUUGUUUGUGUUUUUACAUUUUGGAGGAGUUGACAGAUAAAGACAAGGCUUGGGGGUAUUUCCAAUGACAAGGAGGUGCUUCUGGCUGGAGUUGAACCAGCGACCUUAGGAUCACAGCAUUCCCCACAAGGAGCAUCUUACAGUCCACCGCUCUACCAACUGAGCUAUCAAGGUGCUCUCAAGUCACAAGUGCAGAAAACAUAGUGGCUUCGAAGACACACUAUGCCCACAGAACUAUUCCAACCCAUGGUCAAUGAAAAGCCCAGCCCUACCUGACGAACAAAGCUUUGCAGUUUGUACCCAACAGUCAUUGCCAGGGACCCAGAACUGAUAAUCAGGACUUUUAGGCUGGGUGAAUAAAAAAUUGAUGGUUGAAAAUUCAAGAAAGAGUUAUCUUGUUUGUGUUUUUACAUUUUGGAGGAGUUGACAGAUAAAGACAAAGGUUGGGGGUAUUUCCAAUGACAAGGAGGUGCUUCCGGCUGGAGUUGAACCAGCGACCUUAGGAUCACGGCAUUUCACACAAGGAGCAUCUUACAGUCCACCGCUCUACCAACUGAGCUAUCAAGGUGCUCUCUAGUCACAAGUGCAGAAAACAUAGUGGCUUCGAAGACACACUAUGCCCACAGAACUAUUCCAACCCAUGGCCAGCAAAAGCCCAGCCCUACCUGACGAACAAAGCUUUGCAGUUUGUACCCAACAGUCAUUGCCAGGGACCCAGAACUGAUAAUCAGGACUUUUAGGUUGGGUGAAUAAAAAAUUGAUGGUUGAAAAUUUAAGAAAGAGUUAUCUUGUUUGUGUUUUUACAUUUUGGAGGAGUUGACAGAUAAAGACAAGGCUUAGGGGUAUUUCCAAUGACAAGGAGGUGCUUCCAGCUGGAGUUGAACCAGCGACCUUAGGAUCACAGCGUUUCACACAAGGAGCAUCUUACAGUCCACAGCUCUACCAACUAAGCUAUCAAGGUGCUCUCUAGUCACAAGUGCAGAAAACAUAGUGGCUUCGAAGACACACUAUGCCCACAGAACUAUUCCAACCCAUGGUCAAUGAAAAGCCCAGCCCUACCUGACGAACAAAGCUUUGCAGUUUGUACCCAACAGUCAUUGCCAGGGACCCAGAACUGAUAAUCAGGACUUUUAGGCUGGGUGAAUAAAAAAUUGAUGGUUGAAAAUUUAAGAAAGAGUUAACUUGUUUGUGUUUUUACAUUUUGGAGGAGUUGACAGAUAAAGACAAGGCUUGGGGGAAUUUCCAAUGACAAGGAGGUGCUUCCUGCUGGAGUUGAACCAGCGACGUUAGGAUCACAGCGUUUCACACAAGGAGCAUCUUACAGUCCACUGCUCUACCAACUGAGCUAUCAAGGUGCUCUAUACUCACAAGUGCAGAAAACAUAGUGGCUUCGAAGACACACUAUGCCCACAGAACUAUUCCAACCCAUGGUCAAUGAAAAGCCCAGCCCUACCUGCAGAACAAAGCUUUGCAGUUUGUACCCAACAGUCAUUGCCAGGGACCCAGAACUGAUAAUCAGGACUUUUAGGCUGGGUGAAUAAAAAAUUGAUGGUUGAAAAUUUAAGAAAGAGUUAUCUUGUUUGUGUUUUUACAUUUUGGAGGAGUUGACAGAUAAAGACAAGGCUUGGGGGUAUUUCCAAUGACAAGGAGGUGCUUCUGGCUGGAGUUGAACCAGCGACCUUAGGAUCACAGCAUUCCCCACAAGGAGCAUCUUACAGUCCAACGCUCUACCAACUGAGCUAUCAAGGUGCUCUCAAGUCACAAGUGCAGAAAACAUAGUAGCUUCGAAGACACACUAUGCCCACAGAACUAUUCCAACCCAUGGUCAAUGAAAAGCCCAGCCCUACCUGACGAACAAAGCUUUGCAGUUUGUACCCAACAGUCAUUGCCAGGGACCCAGAACUGAUAAUCAGGACUUUUAGGCUGGGUGAAUAAAAAAUUGAUGGUUGAAAAUUUAAGAAAGAGUUAUCUUGUUUGUGUUUUUACAUUUUGGAGGAGUUGACAGAUAAAGACAAAGCUUGGGGGUAUUUCCAAUGACAAGGAGGUGCUACCGGCUGGAGUUGAACCAGCGACCUUAGGAUCAAGGCAUUUCACACAAGGAGCAUCUUACAGUCGACCGCUCUACCAACUGAGCUAUCAAGGUGCUCUCUAGUCACAAGUGCAGAAAACAUAGUGGCUUCGAAGACACACUAUGCCCACAGAACUAUUCCAACCCAUGGUCAAUGAAAAGCCCAGCCCUACCUGACGAACAAAGCUUUGCAGUUUGUACCCAACAGUCAUUGCCAGGGACCCAGAACUGAUAAUCAGGACUUUUAGGCUGGGUGAAUAAAAAAUUGAUGGUUGAAAAUUUAAGAAAGAGUUAUCUUGUUUGUGUUUUUACAUUUUGGAGGAGUUGACAGAUAAAGACAAGGCUUGGGGGUUUUUCCAAUGACAAGGAGGUGCUUCCGGCUGGAGUUGAACCAGCGACCUUAGGAUCACAGCGUUUCACACAAGGAGCAUCUUACAGUCCACCGCUCUACCAACUGAGCUAUCAAGGUGCUCUCUAGUCACAAGUGCAGAAAACAUAGUGGCUUCGAAGACACACUAUGCCCACAGAACUAUUCCAACCCAUGGUCAAUGAAAAGCCCAGCCCUACCUGACGAACAAAGCUUUGCAGUUUGUACCCAACAGUCAUUGCCAGGGACCCAGAACUGAUAAUCAGGACUUUUAGGCUGGGUGAAUAAAAAAUUGAUGGUUGAAAAUUUAAGAAAGAGUUAUCUUGUUUGUGUUUUUACAUUUUGGAGGAGUUGACAGAUAAAGACCAGGCUUGGGGGUAUUUCCAAUGACAAGGAGGUGCUUCCGGCUGGAGUUGAACGAGCGACCUUAGGAUAACUGCGUUUCACACAAGGAGCAUCUUACAGUCGACUGCUCUACCAACUGAGCUAUCAAGGUGCUCUCUAGUCACAAGUGCAGAAAACAUAGUGGCUUCGAAGACACACUAUGCCCACAGAACUAUUCCAACCCAUGGUCAAUGAAAAGCCCAGCCCUACCUGACGAACAAAGCUUUGCAGUUUGUACCCAACAGUCAUUGCCAGGGACCCAGAACUGAUAAUCAGGACUUUUAGGCUGGGUGAAUAAAAAAUUGAUGGUUGAAAAUUUAAGAAAGAGUUAUCUUGUUUGUGUUUUUACAUUUUGGAGGAGUUGACAGAUAAAGACAAAGGUUGGGGGUAUUUCCAAUGACAAGGAGGUGCUUCCGGCUGGAGUUGAACCAGCGACCUUAGGAUCAAGGCAUUUCACACAAGGAGCAUCUUACAGUCCACCGCUCUACCAACUGAGCUAUCAAGGUGCUCUCUAGUCACAAGUGCAGAAAACAUAGUGGCUUCGAAGACACACUAUGCCCACAGAACUAUUCCAACCCAUGGUCAAUGAAAAGCCCAGCCCUACCUGACGAACAAAGCUUUGCAGUUUGUACCCAACAGUCAUUGCCAGGAACCCAGAACUGAUAAUCAGGACUUUUAGGCUGGGUGAAUAAAAAAUUGAUGGUUGAAAAUUUAAGAAAGAGUUAUCUUGUUUGCGUUUUUACAUUUUGGAGGAGUUGACAGAUAAAGACAAGGCUUGGGGGUAUUUCCAAUGACAAGGAGGUGCUUCCGGCUGGAGUUGAACCAGCGACCUUAGGAUCACAGCGUUUCACACAAGGAGCAUCUUACAGUCCACAGCUCUAACAACUGAGCUAUCAAGGUGCUCUCUAGUCACAAGUGCAGAAAACAUAGUGGCUUCGAAGACACACUAUGCCCACAGAACUAUUCCAACCCAUGGUCAAUGAAAAGCCCAGCCCUACCUGCAGAACAAAGCUUUGCAGUUUGUACCCAACAGUCAUUGCCAGGGACCCAGAACUGAUAAUCAGGACUUUUAGGCUGGGUGAAUAAAAAAUUGAUGGUUGAAAAUUUAAGAAAGAGUUAUCUUGUUUGUGUUUUUACAUUUUGGAGGAGUUGACAGAUAAAGACAAGGCUUGGGGGUAUUUCCAAUAACAAGGAGGUGCUUCCGGCUGGAGUUGAACCAGCGACCUUAGGAUCACAGCGUUUCACACAAGGAGCAUCUAACAGUCCACCGCUCUACCAACUGAGCUAUCAAGGUGCUCUAUACUCACAAGUGCAGAAAACAUAGUGGCUUCGAAGACACACUAUGCCCACAGAACUAUUCCAACCCAUGGUCAAUGAAAAGCCCAGCCCUACCUGACGAACAAAGCUUUGCAGUUUGUACCCAACAGUCAUUGCCAGGGACCCAGAACUGAUAAUCAGGACUUUUAGGCUGGGUGAAUAAAAAAUUGAUGGUUGAAAAUUUAAGAAAGAGUUAUCUUGUUUGUGUUUUUACAUUUUGGAGGAGUUGACAGAUAAAGACAAGGCUUGGGGGGUAUUUCCAAUGACAAGGAGGUGCUUCCGGCGGAGUUGAACCAGCGACCUUAGGAUCACAGCGUUUCACACAAGGAGCAUCUAACAGUGCACCUCUCUACCAACUGAGCUAUCAAGGUGCUCUCUAGUCGCAAGUGCAGAAAACAUAGUGGCUUCGGAGACACACUAUGCCCACAGAACUAUUCCAACCCAUGGUCAAUGAAAAGCCCAGCCCUACCUGCAGAACAUAGCUUUGCAGUUUGUACCCAACAGUCAUUGCCAGGGACCCAGAACUGAUAAUCAGAACUUUUAGGCUGGGUGAAUAAAAAAUUGAUGGUUGAAAAUUUAAGAAAGAGUUAUCUUGUUUGUGUCUUUACAUUUUGGAGGAGUUGACAGAUAAAGACAAGGCUUGGGGGUAUUUCCAAUGACAAGGAGGUGCUUCCGGCUGGAGUUGAACCAGCGACGUUAGGAUCACAGCGUUUCACACAAGGAGCAUCUUACAGUCCACCGCUCUACCAACUGAGAUAUCAAGGUGCUCUCUAGUCACAAGUGCAGAAAACAUAGUGGCUUCGGAGACACACUAUGCCCACAGAACUAUUCCAACCCAUGGUCAAUGAAAAGCCCAGCCCUACCUGACGAACAAAGCUUUGCAGUUUGUACCCAACAGUCAUUGCCAGGGACCCAGAACUGAUAAUCAGGACUUUUAGGCUGGGUGAAUAAAAAAUUGAUGGUUGAAAAUUUAAGAAAGAGUUAUCUUGUUUGUGUUUUUACAUUUUGGAGGAGUUGACAGAUAAAGACAAGGCUUGGGGGUAUUUCCAAUGACAAGGAGGUGCUUCCGGCUGGAGUUGAACCAGCGACCUUAGGAUCACGGCGUUUUACACAAGGAGCAUCUUACAGUCCACAGCUCUAACAACUGAGCUAUCAAGGUGCUCUCUAGUCACAAGUGCAGAAAACAUAGUGGCUUCGAAGACACACUAUGCCCACAGAACUAUUCCAACCCAUGGUCAAUGAAAAGCCCAGCCCUACCUGCAGAACAAAGCUUUGCAGUUUGUACCCAACAGUCAUUGCCAGGGACCCAGAACUGAUAAUCAGGACUUUUAGGCUGGGUGAAUAAAAAAUUGAUGGUUGAAAAUUUAAGAAAGAGUUAUCUUGUUUGUGUUUUUACAUUUUGGAGGAGUUGACAGAUAAAGACAAGGCUUGGGGGUAUUUCCAAUAACAAGGAGGUGCUUCCGGCUGGAGUUGAACCAGCGACGUUAGGAUCACAGCGUUUCACACAAGGAGCAUCUAACAGUCCACCGCUCUACCAAAUGAGCUAUCAAGGUGCUCUAUACUCACAAGUGCAGAAAACAUAGUGGCUUCGAAGACACACUAUGCCCACAGAACUAUUCCAACCCAUGGUCAAUGAAAAGCCCAGCCCUACCUGACGAACAAAGCUUUGCAGUUUGUACCCAACAGUCAUUGCCAGGGACCCAGAACUGAUAAUCAGGACUUUUAGGCUGGGUGAAUAAAAAAUUGAUGGUUGAAAAUUUAAGAAAGAGUUAUCUUGUUUGUGUUUUUACAUUUUGGAGGAGUUGACAGAUAAAGACAAGGCUUGGGGGGUAUUUCCAAUGACAAGGAGGUGCUUCCGGCUGGAGUUGAACCAGCGACCUUAGGAUCACAGCGUUUCACACAAGGAGCAUCUAACAGUGCACCGCUCUACCAACUGGGCUAUCAAGGUGCUCUCUAGUCGCAAGUGCAGAAAACAUAGUGGCUUCGGAGACACACUAUGCCCACAGAACUAUUCCAACCCAUGGUCAAUGAAAAGCCCAGCCCUACCUGCAGAACAUAGCUUUGCAGUUUGUACCCAACAGUCAUUGCCAGGGACCCAGAACUGAUAAUCAGAACUUUUAGGCUGGGUGAAUAAAAAAUUGAUGGUUGAAAAUUUAAGAAAGAGUUAUCUUGUUUGUGUUUUUACAUUUUGGAGGAGUUGACAGAUAAAGACAAGGCCUGGGGGUAUUUCCAAUGACAAGGAGGUGCUUCCGGCUGGAGUUGAACCAGCAACCUUAGGAUCACAGCGUUUCACACAAGGAGCAUCUUACAGUCCACCGCUCUACCAACUGAGCUAUCAAGGUGCUCUCUAGUCACAAGUGCAGAAAACAUAGUGGCUUCGGAGACACACUAUGCCCACAGAACUAUUCCAACCCAUGGUCAAUGAAAAGCCCAGCCCUACCUGCAGAACAUAGCUUUGCAGUUUGUACCCAACAGUCAUUGCCAGGGACCCAGAACUGAUAAUCAGAACUUUUAGGCUGGGUGAAUAAAAAAUUGAUGGUUGAAAAUUUAAGAAAGAGUUAUCUUGUUUGUGUUUUUACAUUUUGGAGGAGUUGACAGAUAAAGACAAGGCUUGGGGGUAUUUCCAAUGACAAGGAGGUGCUUCCGGCUGGAGUUGAACCAGCGACCUUAGGAUCACAGCGUUUCACACAAGGAGCAUCUUACAGUCCACUGCUCUAACAACUGAGCUAUCAAGGUGCUCUCUAGUCACAAGUGCAGAAAACAUAGUGGCUUCGAAGACACACUAUGCCCACAGAACUAUUCCAACCCAUGGUCAAUGAAAAGCCCAGCCCUACCUGCAGAACAAAGCUUUGCAGUUUGUACCCAACAGUCAUUGCCAGGGACCCAGAACUGAUAAUCAGGUCUUUUAGGCUGGGUGAAUAAAAAAUUGAUGGUUGAAAAUUUAAGAAAGAGUUAUCUUGUUUGUGUUUUUACAUUUUGGAGGAGUUGACAGAUAAAGACAAGGCUUGGGGGUAUUUCCAAUGACAAGGAGGUGCUUCCGGCUGGAGUUGAACCAGCGACGUUAGGAUCACAGCGUUUCACACAAGGAGCAUCUUACAGUCCACUGCUCUACCAACUGAGCUAUCAAGGUGCUCUAUACUCACAAGUGCAGAAAACAUAGUGGCUUCGAAGACACACUAUGCCCACAGAACUAUUCCAACCCAUGGUCAAUGAAAAGCCCAGCCCUACCUGACGAACAAAGCUUUGCAGUUUGUACCCAACAGUCAUUGCCAGGGACCCAGAACUGAUAAUCAGGACUUUUAGGCUGGGUGAAUAAAAAAUUGAUGGUUGAAAAUUUAAGAAAGAGUUAUCUUGUUUGUGUUUUUACAUUUUGGAGGAGUUGACAGAUAAAGACAAGGCUUGGGGGUAUUUCCAAUGACAAGGAGGUGCUUCCGGCUGGAGUUGAACCAGCGACCUUAGGAUCACAGCGUUUCACACAAGGAGCAUCUUACAGUCCACCGCUCUACCAACUGAGCUAUCAAGGUGCUCUCUAGUCACAAGUGCAGAAAACAUAGUGGCUUCGAAGACACACUAUGCCCACAGAACUAUUCCAACCCAUGGUCAAUGAAAAGCCCAGCCCUACCUGACGAACAAAGCUUUGCAGUUUGUACCCAACAGUCAUUGCCAGGGACCCAGAACUGAUAAUCAGGACUUUUAGGCUGGGUGAAUAAAAAAUUGAUGGUUGAAAAUUUAAGAAAGAGUUAUCUUGUUUGUGUUUUUACAUUUUGGAGGAGUUGACAGAUAAAGACAAGGCUUGGGGGUAUUUCCAAUGACAAGGAGGUGCUUCCGGCUGGAGUUGAACCAGCGACCUUAGGAUCACAGCGUUUCACACAAGGAGCAUCUUACAGUCCACCGCUCUACCAACUGAGCUAUCAAGGUGCUCUCUAGUCACAAGUGCAGAAAACAUAGUGGCUUCGAAGACACACUAUGCCCACAGAACUAUUCCAACCCAUGGUCAAUGAAAAGCCCAGCCCUACCUGACGAACAAAGCUUUGCAGUUUGUACCCAACAGUCAUUGCCAGGGACCCAGAACUGAUAAUCAGGACUUUUAGGCUGGGUGAAUAAAAAAUUGAUGGUUGAAAAUUUAAGAAAGAGUUAUCUUGUUUGUGUUUUUACAUUUUGGAGGAGUUGACAGAUAAAGACAAGGCUUGGGGGAAUUUCCAGUGACAAGGAGGUGCUUCCGGCUGGAGUUGAACCAGCGACCUUAGGAUAACAGGGUUUCACACAAGGAGCAUCUUACAGUCCACCGCUCUACCAACUGAGCUAUCAAGGUGCUCUCUAGUCACAAGUGCAGAAAACAUAGUGGCUUCGAAGACACACUAUGCCCACAGAACUAUUCCAACCCAUGGUCAAUGAAAAGCCCAGCCCUACCUGACGAACAAAGCUUUGCAGUUUGUACCCAACAGUCAUUGCCAGGGACCCCGAACUGAUAAUCAGGACUUUUAGGCUGGGUGAAUAAAAAAUUGAUGGUUGAAAAUUUAAGAAAGAGUUAUCUUGUUUGUGUUUUUACAUUUUGGAGGAGUUGACAGAUAAAGACAAGGGUUGGGGGUAUUUCCAAUGACAAGGAGGUGCUUCCGGCUGGAGUUGAACCAGCGACAUUAGGAUCACAGCGUUUCACACAAGGAGCAUCUAAUAGUCCACAGCUCUACCAACUGAGCUAUCAAGGUGCUCUAUACUCACAAGUGCAGAAAAGAUAGUGGCUUCGAAGACACACUAUGCCCACAGAACUAUUCCAACCCAUGGUCAAUGAAAAGCCCAGCCCUACCUGACGAACAAAGCUUUGCAGUUUGUACCCAACAGUCAUUGCCAGGGACCCAGAACUGAUAAUCAGGACUUUUAGGCUGGGUGAAUAAAAAAUUGAUGGUUGAAAAUUUAAGAAAGAGUUAUCUUGUUUGUGUUUUUACAUUUUGGAGGAGUUGACAGAUAAAGACAAGGCUUGGGGGUAUUUCCAAUGACAAGGAGGUGCUUCCGGUUGGAGUUGAACCAGCGACCUUAGGAUCACAGCGUUUCACACAAGGAGCAUCUUACAGUCCACCGCUCUACCAACUGAGCUAUCAAGGUGCUCUCUAGUCACAAGUGCAGAAAACAUAGUGGCUUCGAAGACACACUAUGCCCACAGAACUAUUCCAACCCAUGGUCAAUGAAAAGCCCAGCCCUACCUGCAGAACAAAGCUUUGCAGUUUGUACCCAACAGUCAUUGCCAGGGACCCAGAACUGAUAAUCAGGACUUUUAGGCUGGGUGAAUAAAAAAUUGAUGGUUGAAAAUUUAAGAAAGAGUUAUCUUGUUUGUGAUUUUUACAUUUUGGAGGAGUUGACAGAUAAAGACAAGGCUUGGGGGUAUUUCCAAUGACAAGGAGGUGCUUCCGGCUGGAGUUGAACAAGCGACCUUAGGAUCACAGCAUUUCACACAAGGAGCAUCUUACAGUCCACCGCUCUACCAACUGAGCUAUCAAGGUGCUCUAUACUCACAAGUGCAGAAAACAUAGUGGCUUCGAAGACACACUAUGCCCACAGAACUAUUCCAACCCAUGGUCAAUGAAAAGCCCAGCCCUACCUGACGAACAAAGCUUUGCAGUUUGUACCCAACAGUCAUUGCCAGGGACCCAGAACUGAUAAUCAGGACUUUUAGGCUGGGUGAAUAAAAAAUUGAUGGUUGAAAAUUUAAGAAAGAGUUAUCUUGUUUGUGUUUUUACAUUUUGGAGGAGUUGACAGAUAAAGACAAGGCUUGGGGUGUAUUUCCAAUGACAAGGAGGUGCUUCCGGCGGAGUUGAACCAGCGACCUUAGGAUCACAGCGUUUCACACAAGGAGCAUCUAACAGUGCACCGCUCUACCAACUGAGCUAUCAAGGUGCUCUCUAGUCGCAAGUGCAGAAAACAUAGUGGCUUCGGAGACACACUAUGCCCACAGAACUAUUCCAACCCAUGGUCAAUGAAAAGCCCAGCCCUACCUGCAGAACAUAGCUUUGCAGUUUGUACCCAACAGUCAUUGCCAGGGACCCAGAACUGAUAAUCAGAACUUUUAGGCUGGGUGAAUAAAAAAUUGAUGGUUGAAAAUUUAAGAAAGAGUUAUCUUGUUUGUGUUUUUACAUUUUGGAGGAGUUGAAAGAUAAAGACAAGGCUUGGGGGUAUUUCCAAUGACAAGGAGGUGCUUCCGGUUGGAGUUGAACCAGCAACCUUAGGAUCACAGCGUUUUACACAAGGAGCAUCUUACAGUCCACUGCUCUACCAACUGAGCUAUCAAGGUGCUCUCUAGUCACAAGUGCAGAAAACAUAGUGGCUUCGAAGACACACUAUGCCCACAGAACUAUUCCAACCCAUGGUCAAUGAAAAGCCCAGCCCUACCUGCAGAACAAAGCUUUGCAGUUUGUACCCAACAGUCAUUGACAGGGACCCAGAACUGAUAAUCAGGACUUUUAGGCUGGGUGAAUAAAAAAUUGAUGGUUGAAAAUUUAAGAAAGAGUUAUCUUGUUUGUGUUUUUACAUUUUGGAGGAGUUGACAGAUAAAGACAAGGCUUGGGGGUAUUUCCAAUGACAAGGAGGUGCUUCCGGCUGGAGUUGAACCAGCGACCUUAGGAUCACAGCGUUUCACACAACGAGCAUCUUACAGUCCACCGCUCUACCAACUGAGCUAUCAAGGUGAUCUCUAGUCACAAGUGCAGAAAACAUAGUGGCUUCGAAGACACACUAUGCCCACAGAACUAUUCCAACCCAUGGUCAAUGAAAAGCCCAGCCCUACCUGACGAACAAAGCUUUGCAGUUUGUACCCAACAGUCAUUGCCUGGGACCCAGAACUGAUAAUCAGGACUUUUAGGCUGGGUGAAUAAAAAAUUGAUGGUUGAAAAUUUAAGAAAGAGUUAUCUUGUUUGUGUUUUAACAUUUUGGAGGAGUUGACAGAUAAAGACAAGGCUUGGGGGAAUUUCCAGUGACAAGGAGGUGCUUCCGGCUGGAGUUGAACCAGCGACCUUAGGAUAACAGGGUUUCACACAAGGAGCAUCUUACAGUCCACCGCUCUACCAACUGAGCUAUCAAGGUGCUCUCUAGUCACAAGUGCAGAAAACAUAGUGGCUUCGAAGACACACUAUGCCCACAGAACUAUUCCAACCCAUGGUCAAUGAAAAGCCCAGCCCUACCUGACGAACAAAGCUUUGCAGUUUGUACCCAACAGUCAUUGCCAGGGACCCAGAACUGAUAAUCAGGACUUUUAGGCUGGGUGAAUAAAAAAUUGAUGGUUGAAAAUUUAAGAAAGAGUUAUCUUGUUUGUGUUUUUACAUUUUGGAGGAGUUGACAGAUAAAGACAAGGCUUGGGGGAAUUUCCAGUGACAAGGAGGUGCUUCCGGCUGGAGUUGAACCAGCGACCUUAGGAUAACAGGGUUUCACACAAGGAGCAUCUUACAGUCCACCGCUCUACCAACUGAGCUAUCAAGGUGCUCUCUAGUUGCAAGUGCAGAAAACAUAGUGGCUUCGAAGACACACUAUGCCCACAGAACUAUUCCAACCCAUGGUCAAUGAAAAGCCCAGCCCUACCUGACGAACAAAGCUUUGCAGUUUGUACCCAACAGUCAUUGCCAGGGACCCAGAACUGAUAAUCAGGACUUUUAGGCUGGGUGAAUAAAAAAUUGAUGGUUGAAAAUUUAAGAAAGAGUUAUCUUGUUUGUGUUUUUACAUUUUGGAGGAGUUGACAGAUAAAGACAAGGCUUGGGGGUAUUUCCAAUGACAAGGAGGUGCUUCCGGUUGGAGUUGAACCAGCGACCUUAGGAUCACAGCGUUUCACACAAGGAGCAUCUUACAGUCCACCGCUCUACCAACUGAGCUAUCAAGGUGCUCUCAAGUCACAAGUGCAGAAAACAUAGUGGCUUCGAAGACACACUAUGCCCACAGAACUAUUCCAACCCAUGGUCAAUGAAAAGCCCAGCCCUACCUGCAGAACAAAGCUUUGCAGUUUGUACCCAACAGUCAUUGCCAGGGACCCAGAACUGAUAAUCAGGACUUUUAGGCUGGGUGAAUAAAAAAUUGAUGGUUGAAAAUUUAAGAAAGAGUUAUCUUGUUUGUGAUUUUUACAUUUUGGAGGAGUUGACAGAUAAAGACAAAGGCUUGGGGGUAUUUCCAAUGACAAGGAGGUGCUUCCGGCUGGAGUUGAACCAGCGACCUUAGGAUCACAGCGUUUCCCACAAGGAGCAUCUUACAGUCCACCGCUCUACCAACUGAGCUAUCAAGGUGCUCUAUACUCACAAGUGCAGAAAACAUAGUGGCUUCGAAGACACACUAUGCCCACAGAACUAUUCCAACCCAUGGUCAAUGAAAAGCCCAGCCCUACCUGACGAACAAAGCUUUGCAGUUUGUACCCAACAGUCAUUGCCAGGGACCCGGCUGGGUGAAUAAAAAAUUGAUGGUUGAAAAUUUAAGAAAGAGUUAUCUUGUUUGUGUUUUUACAUUUUGGAGGAGUUGACAGAUAAAGACAAGGCUUGGGGGUAUUUCUAAUGACAAGGAGGUGCUUCCGGCUGGAGUUGAACCAGCGACCUUAGGAUCACAGCGUUUCACACAAGGAGCAUCUUACAGUCCACCGCUCUACCAACUGAGCUAUCAAGGUGCUCUCUAGUCACAAGUGCAGAAAACAUAGUGGCUUCGGAGACACACUAUGCCCACAGAACUAUUCCAACCCAUGGUCAAUGAAAAGCCCAGCCCUACCUGCAGAACAUAGCUUUGCAGUUUGUACCCAACAGUCAUUGCCAGGGACCCAGAACUGAUAAUCAGAACUUUUAGGCUGGGUGAAUAAAAAAUUGAUGGUUGAAAAUUUAAGAAAGAGUUAUCUUGUUUGUGUUUUUACAUUUUGGAGGAGUUGACAGAUAAAGACAAGGCUUGGGGGUAUUUCCAAUGACAAGGAGGUGCUUCCGGCUGGAGUUGAACCAGCGACCUUAGGAUCACAGCGUUUCACACAAGGAGCAUCUUACAGUCCACUGCUCUAACAAGUGAGCUAUCAAGGUGCUCUCUAGUCACAAGUGCAGAAAACAUAGUGGCUUCGAAGACACACUAUGCCCACAGAACUAUUCCAACCCAUGGUCAAUGAAAAGCCCAGCCCUACCUGCAGAACAAAGCUUUGCAGUUUGUACCCAACAGUCAUUGACAGGGACCCAGAACUGAUAAUCAGGACUUUUAGGCUGGGUGAAUAAAAAAUUGAUGGUUGAAAAUUUAAGAAAGAGUUAUCUUGUUUGUGUUUUUACAUUUUGGAGGAGUUGACAGAUAAAGACAAGGCUUGGGGGUAUUUCCAAUGACAAGGAGGUGCUUCCGGCUGGAGUUGAACCAGCGACCUUAGGAUCACAGCGUUUCACACAAGGAGCAUCUUACAGUCCACCGCUCUACCAACUGAGCUAUCAAGGUGCUCUCUAGUCACAAGUGCAGAAAACAUAGUGGCUUCGAAGACACACUAUGCCCACAGAACUAUUCCAACCCAUGGUCAAUGAAAAGCCCAGCCCUACCUGACGAACAAAGCUUUGCAGUUUGUACCCAACAGUCAUUGCCAGGGACCCAGAACUGAUAAUCAGGACUUUUAGGCUGGGUGAAUAAAAAAUUGAUGGUUGAAAAUUUAAGAAAGAGUUAUCUUGUUUGUGUUUUUACAUUUUGGAGGAGUUGACAGAUAAAGACAAGGCUUGGGGGAAUUUCCAGUGACAAGGAGGUGCUUCCGGCUGGAGUUGAACCAGCGACCUUAGGAUAACAGGGUUUCACACAAGGAGCAUCUUACAGUCCACCGCUCUACCAACUGAGCUAUCAAGGUGCUCUAUACUCACAAGUGCAGAAAACAUAGUGGCUUCGAAGACACACUAUGCCCACAGAACUAUUCCAACCCAUGGUCAAUGAAAAGCCCAGCCCUACCUGACGAACAAAGCUUUGCAGUUUGUACCCAACAGUCAUUGCCAGGGACCCAGAACUGAUAAUCAGGACUUUUAGGCUGGGUGAAUAAAAAAUUGAUGGUUGAAAAUUUAAGAAAGAGUUAUCUUGUUUGUGUUUUUACAUUUUGGAGGAGUUGACAGAUAAAGACAAGGCUUGAGGGGUAAUUCCAAUGACAAGGAGGUGCUUCCGGCUGGAGUUGAACCAGCGACCUUAGGAUCACAGCGUUUCACACAAGGAGCAUCUAACAGUGCACCGCUCUACCAACUGAGCUAUCAAGGUGCUCUCUAGUCGCAAGUGCAGAAAACAUAGUGGCUUCGGAGACACACUAUGCCCACAGAACUAUUCCAACCCAUGGUCAAUGAAAAGCCCAGCCCUACCUGCAGAACAUAGCUUUGCAGUUUGUACCCAACAGUCAUUGCCAGGGACCCAGAACUGAUAAUCAGAACUUUUAGGCUGGGUGAAUAAAAAAUUGAUGGUUGAAAAUUUAAGAAAGAGUUAUCUUGUUUGUGUUUUUACAUUUUGGAGGAGUUGACAGAUAAAGACAAGGCUUGGGGGUAUUUCCAAUGACAAGGAGGUGCUUCCGGCUGGAGUUGAACCAGCGACCUUAGGAUCAGAGCGUUUCACACAAGGAGCAUCUUACAGUCCACCGCUCUACCAACUGAGCUAUCAAGGUGCUCUCUAGUCACAAGUGCAGAAAACAUAGUGGCUUCGAAGACACACUAUGCCCACAGAACUAUUCCAACCCAUGGUCAAUGAAAAGCCCAGCCCUACCUGACGAAGAAAGCUUUGCAGUUUGUACCCAACAGUCAUUGCCAGGGACCCAGAACUGAUAAUCAGGACUUUUAGGCUGGGUGAAUAAAAAAUUGAUGGUUGAAAAUUUAAGAAUGAGUUAUCUUGUUUGUGUUUUUACAUUUUGGAGGAGUUGACAGAUAAAGACAAGGCUUGGGGGUAUUUCCAAUGACAAGGAGGUGCUUCCGGCUGGAGUUGAACCAGAGACAUUAGGAUCACAGCGUUUCACACAAGGAGCAUCUAACAGUCCACCGCUCUACCAACUGAGCUAACAAGGUGGUCUAUACUCACAAGUGCAGAAAACAUAGUGGCUUCGAAGACACACUAUGCCCACAGAACUAUUCCCACCCAUGGUCAAUGAAAAGCCCAGCCCUACCUGACGAACAAAGCUUUGCAGUUUGUACCCAACAGUCAUUGCCAGGGACCCAGAACUGAUAAUCAGGACUUUUAGGCUGGGUGAAUAAAAAAUUGAUGGUUGAAAAUUUAAGAAAGAGUUAUCUUGUUUGUGCUUUUACAUUUUGGAGGAGUUGACAGAUAAAGACAAGGCUUGGGGGUAUUUCCAAUGACAAGGAGGUGCUUCCGGCUGGAGUUGAACCAGCGACCUUAGGAUCACAGCGUUUCACACAAGGAGCAUCUUACAGUCCACCGCUCUACCAACUGAGCUAUCAAGGUGCUCUCUAGUCACAAGUGCAGAAAACAUAGUGGCUUCGAAGACACACUAUGCCCACAGAACUAUUCCAACCCAUGGUCAAUGAAAAGCCCAGCCCUACCUGACGAACAAAGCUUUGCAGUUUGUACCCAACAGUCAUUGCCAGGGACCCAGAACUGAUAAUCAGGACUUUUAGGCUGGGUGAAUAAAAAAUUGAUGGUUGAAAAUUUAAGAAAGAGUUAUAUUGUUUGAGUUUUUACAUUUUGGAGGAGUUGACAGAUAAAGACAAGGCUUGGGGGUAUUUCCAAUGACAAGGAGGUGCUUCCGGCUGGAGUUGAACCAGCGACAUUAGGAUCACAGCGUUUCACACAAGGAGCAUCUAACAGUCCACCGCUCUACCAACUGAGCUAUCAAGGUGGUCUAUACUCACAAGUGCAGAAAAGAUAGUGGCUUCGAAGACACACUAUGCCCACAGAACUAUUCCAACCCAUGGUCAAUGAAAAGCCCAGCCCUACCUGACGAACAAAGCUUUGCAGUUUGUACCCAACAGUCAUUGCCAGGGACCCAGAACUGAUAAUCAGGACUUUUAGGCUGGGUGAAUAAAAAAUUGAUGGUUGAAAAUUUAAGAAAGAGUUAUCUUGUUUGUGUUUUUACAUUUUGGAGGAGUUGACAGAUAAAGACAAGGCUUGGGGGUAUUUCCAAUGACAAGGAGGUGCUUCCGGCUGGAGUUGAACCAGCGACAUUAGGAUCACAGCGUUUCACACAAGGAGCAUCUUACAGUCCACCGCUCUACCAACUGAGCUAUGAAGGUGCUCUCUAGUCGCAAGUGCAGAAAACAUAGUGGCUUCGAAGACACACUAUGCCCACAGAACUAUUCCAACCCAUGGUCAAUGAAAAGCCCAGCCCUACCUGACGAACAAAGCUUUGCAGUUUGUACCCAACAGUCAUUGCCAGGGACCCAGAACUGAUAAUCAGGACUUUUAGGCUGGGUGAAUAAAAAAUUGAUGGUUGAAAAUUUAAGAAAGAGUUAUCUUGUUUGUGUUUUUACAUUUUGGAGGAGUUGACAGAUAAAGACAAGGCUUGGGGGUAUUUCCAAUGACAAGGAGGUGCUUCCGGCUGGAGUUGAACCAGUGACCUUAGGAUCACAGCGUUUCACACAAGGAGCAUCUUACAGUGCACCGCUCUACCAACUGAGCUAUCAAGGUGCUCUCUAGUCACAAGUGCAGAAAACAUAGUGGCUUCGAAGACACACUAUGCCCACAGAACUAUUCCAACCCAUGGUCAAUGAAAAGCCCAGCCCUACCUGCAGAACAAAGCUUUGCAGUUUGUACCCAACAGUCAUUGCCAGGGACCCAGAACUGAUAAUCAGGACUUUUAGGCUGGGUGAAUAAAAAAUUGAUGGUUGAAAAUUUAAGAAAGAGUUAUCUUGUUUGUGAUUUUUACAUUUUGGAAGAGUUGACAGAUAAAGACAAGGCUUGGGGGUAUUUCCAAUGACAAGGAGGUGCUUCCGGCUGGAGUUGAACAAGCGACCUUAGGAUCACAGCGUUUCCCACAAGGAGCAUCUUACAGUGCACCGCUCUACCAACUGAGCUAUCAAGGUGCUCUCUAGUCACAAGUGCAGAAAACAUAGUGGCUUCGAAGACACACUAUGCCCACAGAACUAUUCCAACCCAUGGUCAAUGAAAAGCCCAGCCCUACCUGCAGAACAAAGCUUUGCAGUUUGUACCCAACAGUCAUUGCCAGGGACCCAGAACUGAUAAUCAGGACUUUUAGGCUGGGUGAAUCAAAAAUUGAUGGUUGAAAAUUUAAGAAAGAGUUAUCUUGUUUGUGAUUUUUACAUUUUGGAGGAGUUGACAGAUAAAGACAAGGCUUGGGGGUAUUUCCAAUGACAAGGAGGUGCUUCCGGCUGGAGUUGAACAAGCGACCUUAGGAUCACAGCGUUUCCCACAAGGAGCAUCUUACAGUCCACCGCUCUACCAACUGAGCUAUCAAGGUGCUCUCUAGUCACAAGUGCAGAAAACAUAGAGGCUUCGAAGACACACUAUGCCCACAGAACUAUUCCAACCCAUGGUCAAUGAAAAGCCCAGCCCUACCUGACGAACAAAGCUUUGCAGUUUGUACCCAACAGUCAUUGCCAGGGACCCAGAACUGAUAAUCAGGACUUUUAGGCUGGGUGAAUAAAAAAUUGAUGGUUGAAAAUUUCAGAAAGAGUUAUUUGUUUGUGUUUUUACAUUUUGGAGGAGUUGACAGAUAAAGACAAGGCUUGGGGGUAUUUCCAAUGACAAGGAGGUGCUUCCGGCUGGAGUUGAACCAGCGACCUUAGGAUAACAGCGUUUCACACAAGGAGCAUCUGACAGUCCACCGCUCUACCAACUGAGCUGUCAAGAUGCUCUCUAGUCACAAGUGCAGAAAACAUAGUGGCUUCGAAGACACACUAUGCCCACAGAACUAUUCCAACCCAUGGUCAAUGAGAAGCCCAGCCCUACCUGCAGAACAAAGCUUUGCAGUUUGUACCCAACAGUCAUUGCCAGGGACCCAGAACUGAUAAUCAGGACUUUUAGGCUGGGUGAAUAAAAAAUUGAUGGUUGAAAAUUUAAGAAAGAGUUAUUUGUUUGUGUUUUUACAUUUUGGAGGAGUUGACAGAUAAAGACAAGGCUUGGGGGUAUUUCCAAUGACAAGGAGGUGCUUCCGGCUGGAGUUGAACCAGCGACCUUAGGAUCACAGCGUUUCACACAAGGAGCAUCUUACAGUCCACCGCUCUACCAACUGAGCUAUCAAGGUGCUCUCUAGUCACAAGUGCAGAAAACAUAGUGGCUUCGAAGACACACUAUGCCCACAGAACUAUUCCAACCCAUGGUCAAUGAAAAGCCCAGCCCUACCUGCAGAACAAAGCUUUGCAGUUUGUACCCAACAGUCAUUGCCAGGGACCCAGAACUGAUAAUCAGGACUUUUAGGCUGGGUGAAUAAAAAAUUGAUGGUUGAAAAUUUAAGAGUUAUCUUGUUUGUGUUUUUACAUUUUGGAGGAGUUGACAGAUAAAGACAAGGCUUGGGGGUAUUUCGAAUGACAAGGAGGUGCUUCCGGCUGGAGUUGAACCAGCAACCUUAGGAUCACAGCGUUUCACACAAGGAGAAUCUUACAGUCCACCGCUCUACCAACUGAGCUAUCAAGGUGCUCUCUAGUCACAAGUGCAGAAAACAUAGUGGCUUCGAAGACACACUAUGCCCACAGAACUAUUCCAACCCAUGGUCAAUGAAAAGCCCAGCCCUACCUGACGAACAAAGCUUUGCAGUUUGUACCCAACAGUCAUUGCCAGGGACCCAGAACUGAUAAUCAGGACUUUUAGGCUGGGUGAAUAAAAAAUUGAUGGUUGAAAAUUUAAGAAAGAGUUAUCUUGUUUGUGUUUUUACAUUUUGGAGGAGUUGACAGAUAAAGACAAGGCCUUGGGGUAUUUCCAAUGACAGAGAGGUGCUUCCGGCUGGAGUUGAACCAGCCACCUUAGGAUCACAGCGUUUCACACAAGGAGCAUCUUACAGUCCACCGCUCUACCAACUGAGCUAUCAAGGUGCUCUCUAGUCACAAGUGCAGAAAACAUAGUGGCUUCGAAGACACACUAUGCCCACGGAACUAUUCCAACCCAUGGUCAAUGAAAAGCCCAGCCCUACCUGACGAACAAAGCUUUGCAGUUUGUACCCAACAGUCAUUGCCAGGGACCCAGAACUGAUAAUCAGGACUUUUAGGCUGGGUGAAUAAAAAAUUGAUGGUUGAAAAUUUAAGAAAGAGUUAUCUUGUUUGUGUUUUUACAUUUUGGAGGAGUUGACAGAUAAAGACAAGGCUUGGGGGUAUUUCCAAUGAGAAGGAGGUGCUUCCGGCUGGAGUUGAACCAGCGACCUUAGGAUCACAGCGUUUCACACAAGGAGCAUCUUACAGUCCACCGCUCUACCAACUGAGCUAUCAAGGUGCUCUCUAGUCACAAGUGCAGAAAACAUAGUGGCUUCGAAGACACACUAUGCCCACAGAACUAUUCCAACCCAUGGUCAAUGAAAAGCCCAGCCCUACCUGACGAACAAAGCUUUGCAAUUUGUACCCAACAGUCAUUGCCAGGGACCCAGAACUGAUAAUCAGGACUUUUAGGCUGGGUGAAUAAAAAAUUGAUGGUUGAAAAUUUAAGAAAGAGUUAUAUUGUUUGAGUUUUUACAUUUUGGAGGAGUUGACAGAUAAAGACAAGGCUUGGGGGUAUUUCCAAUGACAAGGAGGUGCUUCCGGCUGGAGUUGAACCAGCGACAUUAGGAUCACAGCGUUUCACACAAGGAGCAUCUAACAGUCCACCGCUCUACCAACUGAGCUAUCAAGGUGCUCUAUACUCACAAGUGCAGAAAAGAUAGUGGCUUCGAAGACACACUAUGCCCACAGAACUAUUCCAACCCAUGGUCAAUGAAAAGCCCAGCCCUACCUGACGAACAAAGCUUUGCAGUUUGUACCCAACAGUCAUUGCCAGGGACCCAGAACUGAUAAUCAGGACUUUUAGGCUGGGUGAAUAAAAAAUUGAUGGUUGAAAAUUUAAGAAAGAGUUAUCUUGUUUGUGUUUUUACAUUUUGGAGGAGUUGACAGAUAAAGACAAGGCUUGGGGGUAUUUCCAAUGACAAGGAGGUGCUUCCGGCUGGAGUUGAACCAGCAACCUUAGGAUCACAGCGUUUCACACAAGGAGCAUCUUACAGUCCACCGCUCUACCAACUGAUCUAUAAAGGUGCUCUCUACUCAAAAGUGCAGAAAACAUAGUGGCUUCGAAGACACACUAUGCCCACAGAACUAUUCCAACCCAUGGUCAAUGAAAAGCCCAGCCCUACCUGCAGAACAAAGCUUUGCAGUUUGUACCCAACAGUCAUUGCCAGGGACCCAGAACUGAUAAUCAGGACUUUUAGGCUGGGUGAAUAAAAAAUUGAUGGUUGAAAAUUUAAGAAAGAGUUAUAUUGUUUGAGUUUUUACAUUUUGGAGGAGUUGACAGAUAAAGACAAGGCUUGGGGGUAUUUCCAAUGACAAGGAGGUGCUUCCGGCUGGAGUUGAACCAGCGACAUUAGGAUCACAGCGUUUCACACAAGGAGCAUCUAACAGUCCACCGCUCUACCAACUGAGCUAUCAAGGUGCUCUAUACUCACAAGUGCAGAAAAGAUAGUGGCUUCGAAGACACACUAUGCCCACAGAACUAUUCCAACCCAUGGUCAAUGAAAAGCCCAGCCCUACCUGACGAACAAAGCUUUGCAGUUUGUACCCAACAGUCAUUGCCAGGGACCCAGAACUGAUAAUCAGGACUUUUAGGCUGGGUGAAUAAAAAAUUGAUGGUUGAAAAUUUAAGAAAGAGUUAUCUUGUUUGUGUUUUUACAUUUUGGAGGAGUUGACAGAUAAAGACAAGGCUUGGGGGUAUUUCCAAUGACAAGGAGGUGCUUCCGGCUGGAGUUGAACCAGCGACCUUAGGAUCACAGCGUUUCACACAAGGAGCAUCUUACAGUCCACCGCUCUACCAACUGAACUAUAAAGGUGCUCUCUACUCAAAAGUGCAGAAAACAUAGUGGCUUCGAAGACACACUAUGCCCACAGAACUAUUCCAACCCAUGGUCAAUGAAAAGCCCAGCCCUACCUGCAGAACAAAGCUUUGCAGUUUGUACCCAACAGUCAUUGCCAGGGACCCAGAACUGAUAAUCAGGACUUUUAGGCUGGGUGAAUAAAAAAUUGAUGGUUGAAAAUUUAAGAAAGAAUUAUCUUGUUUGUGUUUUUACAUUUUGGAGGAGUUGAUAGAUAAAGACAAGGCUUGGGGGUAUUUCCAAUGACAAGGAGGUGCUUCCGGCUGGAGUUGAACCAGCGACCUUAGGAUCACAGCGUUUCACACAAGGAGCAUCUUACAGUCCACCGCUCUAACAACUGAGCUAUCAAGGUGCUCUCUAGUCACAAGUGCAGAAAACAUAGUGGCUUCGAAGACACACUAUGCCCACAGAACUAUUCCAACCCAUGGUCAAUGAAAAGCCCAGCCCUACCUGACGAACAAAGCUUUGCAGUUUGUACCCAACAGUCAUUGCCAGGGACCCAGAACUGAUAAUCAGGACUUUUAGGCUGGGUGAAUAAAAAAUUGAUGGUUGAAAAUUUAAGAAAGAGUUAUCUUGUUUGUGUUUUUACAUUUUGGAGGAGUUGACAGAUAAAGACAAGGCUUGGGGGUAUUUCCAAUAACAAGGAGGUGCUUCCGGCUGGAGUUGAAACAGCGACCUUAGGAUCACAGCGUUUCACACAAGGAGCAUCUAACAGUCCACCGCUCUACCAACUGAGCUAUCAAGGUGCUCUCUAGUCACAAGUGCAGAAAACAUAGUGGCUUCGAAGACACACUAUGCCCACAGAACUAUUCCAACCCAUGGUCAAUGAAAAGCCCAGCCCUACCUGACGAACAAAGCUUUGCAGUUUGUACCCAACAGUCAUUGCCAGGGACCCAGAACUGAUAAUCAGGACUUUUAGGCUGGGUGAAUAAAAAAUUGAUGGUUGAAAAUUUAAGAAAGAGUUAUCUUGUUUGUGAUUUUUACAUUUUGGAGGAGUUGACAGAUAAAGACAAGGCUUGGGGGUAUUUCCAAUGACAAGGAGGUGCUUCCGGCUGGAGUUGAACAAGCGACCUUAGGAUCACAGCGUUUCCCACAAGGAGCAUCUUACAGUCCACCGCUCUACCAACUGAGCUAUCAAGGUGCUCUCUAGUCACAAGUGCAGAAAACAUAGAGGCUUCGAAGACACACUAUGCCCACAGAACUAUUCCAACCCAUGGUCAAUGAAAAGCCCAGCCCUACCUGACGAACAAAGCUUUGCAGUUUGUACCCAACAGUCAUUGCCAGGGACCCAGAACUGAUAAUCAGGACUUUUAGGCUGGGUGAAUAAAAAAUUGAUGGUUGAAAAUUUAAGAAAGAGUUAUCUUGUUUGUGUUUUUACAUUUUGGAGGAGUUGACAGAUAAAGAAAGGCUUGGGGGUAUUUCGAAUGACAAGGAGGUGCUUCCGGCUGGAGUUGAACCAGCGACCUCAGGAUCACAGCGUUUCACACAAGGAGCAUCUUACAGUCCACCGCUCUACCAACUGAGCUAUCAAGGUGCGCUCUAGUCACAAGUGCAGAAAACAUAGUGGCUUCGAAGACACACUAUGCCCACAGAACUAUUCCAACCCAUGGUCAAUGAAAAGCCCAGCCCUACCUGACGAACAAAGCUUUGCAGUUUGUACCCAACAGUCAUUGCCAGGGACCCAGAACUGAUAAUCAGGACUUUUAGGCUGGGUGAAUAAAAAAUUGAUGGUUGAAAAUUGAAGAAAGAGUUAUAUUGUUUGUGUUUUUACAUUUUGGAGGAGUUGACAGAUAAAGACAAGGCUUGGGGGUAUUUCGAAUGACAAGGAGGUGCUUCCGGCUGGAGUUGAACCAGCGACCUUAGGAUCACAGCGUUUCACACAAGGAGCAUCUUACAGUCCACCGCUCUACCAACUGAGCUAUCAAGGUGCUCUCUAGUCACAAGUGCAGAAAACAUAGUGGCUUCGAAGACACACUAUGCCCACAGAACUAUUCCAACCCAUGGUCAAUGAAAAGCCCAGCCCUACCUGACGAACAAAGCUUUGCAGUUUGUACCCAACAGUCAUUGCCAGGGACCCAGAACUGAUAAUCAGGACUUUUAGGCUGGGUGAAUAAAAAAUUGAUGGUUGAAAAUUUAAGAAAGAGUUAUCUUGUUUGUGUUUUUACAUUUUGGAGGAGUUGACAGAUAAAGACAAGGCUUGGGGGUAUUUCGAAUGACAAGGAGGUGCUUCCGGCUGGAGUUGAACCAGCGACCUUAGGAUCACAGCGUUUCACACAAGGAGCAUCUUACAGUCCACCGCUCUACCAACUGAGCUAUCAAGGUGCUCUCUAGUCACAAGUGCAGAAAACAUAGAGGCUUCGAAGACACACUAUGCCCACAGAACUAUUCCAACCCAUGGUCAAUGAAAAGCCCAGCCCUACCUGACGAACAAAGCUUUGCAGUUUGUACCCAACAGUCAUUGCCAGGGAUCCAGAACUGAUAAUCAGGACUUUUAGGCUGGGUGAAUAAAAAAUUGAUGGUUGAAAAUUUAAGAAAGUGUCAUCUUGUUUGUGUUUUUACAUUUUGGAGGAGUUGACAGAUAAAGACAAGGCUUGGGGGGUAUUUCCAAUGACAAGGAGGUGCUUCCGGCGGAAUUGAACCAGCGAGCUUAGGAUCACAGCGUUUCACACAAGGAGCAUCUUACAGUCCACCGCUGUACCAACUGAGCUAUCAAGGUGCUCUCUAGUCGCAAGUGCAGAAAACAUAGUGGCUUCGGAGACACACUAUGCCCACAGAACUAUUCCAACCCAUGGUCAAUGAAAAGCCCAGCCCUACCUGCAGAACAAAGCUUUGCAGUUUGUACCCAACAGUCAUUGCCAGGGACCCAGAACUGAUAAUCAGAACUUUUAGGCUGGGUGAAUAAAAAAUUGAUGGUUGAAAAUUUAAGAAAGAGUUAUCUUGUUUGUGUUUUUACAUUUUGGAGGAGUUGACAGAUAAAGACAAGGCUUGGGGGUAUUUCCAAUGACAAGGAGGUGCUUCCGGCUGGAGUUGAACCAGUGACCUUAGGAUCACAGCGUUUCACACAAGGAGCAUCUUACAGUCCACCGCUCUACCAAAUGAGCUAACAAGGUGCUCUAUAAUCACAAGUGCAGAAAACAUAGUGGCUUCGAAGACACACUAUGCCCACAGAACUAUUCCAACCCAUGGUCAAUGAAAAGCCCAGCCCUACCUGCAGAACAAAGCUUUGCAGUUUGUACCCAACAGUCAUUGCCAGGGACCCAGAACUGAUAAUCAGGACUUUUAGGCUGGGUGAAUAAAAAAUUGAUGGUUGAAAAUUUAAGAAAGAAUUAUCUUGUUUGUGUUUUUACAUUUUGGAGGAGUUGAUAGAUAAAGACAAGGCUUGGGGGUAUUUCCAAUGACAAGGAGGUGCUUCCGGCUGGAGUUGAACCAGCGACCUUAGGAUCACAGCGUUUCACACAAGGAGCAUCUUACAGUCCACCGCUCUAACAACUGAGCUAUCAAGGUGCUCUCUAGUCACAAGUGCAGAAAACAUAGUGGCUUCGAAGACACACUAUGCCCACAGAACUAUUCCAACCCAUGGUCAAUGAAAAGCCCAGCCCUACCUGACGAACAAAGCUUUGCAGUUUGUACCCAACAGUCAUUGCCAGGGACCCAGAACUGAUAAUCAGGACUUUUAGGCUGGGUGAAUAAAAAAUUGAUGGUUGAAAAUUUAAGAAAGAGUUAUCUUGUUUGUGUUUUUACAUUUUGGAGGAGUUGACAGAUAAAGACAAGGCUUGGGGGUAUUUCCAAUGACAAGGAGGUGCUUCCGGCUGGAGUUGAACCAGCAACCUUAGGAUCACAGCGUUUCACACAAGGAGCAUCUUACAGUCCACCGCUCUACCAACUGAACUAUAAAGGUGCUCUCUACUCAAAAGUGCAGAAAACAUAGUGGCUUCGAAGACACACUAUGCCCACAGAACUAUUCCAACCCAUGGUCAAUGAAAAGCCCAGCCCUACCUGCAGAACAAAGCUUUGCAGUUUGUACCCAACAGUCAUUGCCAGGGACCCAGAACUGAUAAUCAGGACUUUUAGGCUGGGUGAAUAAAAAAUUGAUGGUUGAAAAUUUAAGAAAGAGUUAUAUUGUUUGAGUUUUUACAUUUUGGAGGAGUUGACAGAUAAAGACAAGGCUUGGGGGUAUUUCCAAUGACAAGGAGGUGCUUCCGGCUGGAGUUGAACCAGCGACAUUAGGAUCACAGCGUUUCACACAAGGAGCAUCUAACAGUCCACCGCUCUACCAACUGAGCUAUCAAGGUGCUCUAUACUCACAAGUGCAGAAAAGAUAGUGGCUUCGAAGACACACUAUGCCCACAGAACUAUUCCAACCCAUGGUCAAUGAAAAGCCCAGCCCUACCUGACGAACAAAGCUUUGCAGUUUGUACCCAACAGUCAUUGCCAGGGACCCAGAACUGAUAAUCAGGACUUUUAGGCUGGGUGAAUAAAAAAUUGAUGGUUGAAAAUUUAAGAAAGAGUUAUCUUGUUUGUGUUUUUACAUUUUGGAGGAGUUGACAGAUAAAGACAAGGCUUGGGGGUAUUUCCAAUGACAAGGAGGUGCUUCCGGCUGGAGUUGAACCAGCGACCUUAGGAUCACAGCGUUUCACACAAGGAGCAUCUUACAGUCCACCGCUCUACCAACUGAACUAUAAAGGUGCUCUCUACUCAAAAGUGCAGAAAACAUAGUGGCUUCGAAGACACACUAUGCCCACAGAACUAUUCCAACCCAUGGUCAAUGAAAAGCCCAGCCCUACCUGCAGAACAAAGCUUUGCAGUUUGUACCCAACAGUCAUUGCCAGGGACCCAGAACUGAUAAUCAGGACUUUUAGGCUGGGUGAAUAAAAAAUUGAUGGUUGAAAAUUUAAGAAAGAAUUAUCUUGUUUGUGUUUUUACAUUUUGGAGGAGUUGAUAGAUAAAGACAAGGCUUGGGGGUAUUUCCAAUGACAAGGAGGUGCUUCCGGCUGGAGUUGAACCAGCGACCUUAGGAUCACAGCGUUUCACACAAGGAGCAUCUUACAGUCCACCGCUCUAACAACUGAGCUAUCAAGGUGCUCUCUAGUCACAAGUGCAGAAAACAUAGUGGCUUCGAAGACACACUAUGCCCACAGAACUAUUCCAACCCAUGGUCAAUGAAAAGCCCACCCCUACCUGACGAACAAAGCUUUGCAGUUUGUACCCAACAGUCAUUGCCAGGGACCCAGAACUGAUAAUCAGGACUUUUAGGCUGGGUGAAUAAAAAAUUGAUGGUUGAAAAUUUAAGAAAGAGUUAUCUUGUUUGUGUUUUUACAUUUUGGAGGAGUUGACAGAUAAAGACAAGGCUUGGGGGUAUUUCCAAUAACAAGGAGGUGCUUCCGGCUGGAGUUGAAACAGCGACCUUAGGAUCACAGCGUUUCACACAAGGAGCAUCUAACAGUCCACCGCUCUACCAACUGAGCUAUCAAGGUGCUCUCUAGUCACAAGUGCAGAAAACAUAGUGGCUUCGAAGACACACUAUGCCCACAGAACUAUUCCAACCCAUGGUCAAUGAAAAGCCCAGCCCUACCUGACGAACAAAGCUUUGCAGUUUGUACCCAACAGUCAUUGCCAGGGACCCAGAACUGAUAAUCAGGACUUUUAGGCUGGGUGAAUAAAAAAUUGAUGGUUGAAAAUUUAAGAAAGAGUUAUCUUGUUUGUGAUUUUUACAUUUUGGAGGAGUUGACAGAUAAAGACAAGGCUUGGGGGUAUUUCCAAUGACAAGGAGGUGCUUCCGGCUGGAGUUGAACAAGCGACCUUAGGAUCACAGCGUUUCCCACAAGGAGCAUCUUACAGUCCACCGCUCUACCAACUGAGCUAUCAAGGUGCUCUCUAGUCACAAGUGCAGAAAACAUAGAGGCUUCGAAGACACACUAUGCCCACAGAACUAUUCCAACCCAUGGUCAAUGAAAAGCCCAGCCCUACCUGACGAACAAAGCUUUGCAGUUUGUACCCAACAGUCAUUGCCAGGGACCCAGAACUGAUAAUCAGGACUUUUAGGCUGGGUGAAUAAAAAAUUGAUGGUUGAAAAUUUAAGAAAGAGUUAUCUUGUUUGUGUUUUUACAUUUUGGAGGAGUUGACAGAUAAAGAAAGGCUUGGGGGUAUUUCGAAUGACAAGGAGGUGCUUCCGGCUGGAGUUGAACCAGCGACCUCAGGAUCACAGCGUUUCACACAAGGAGCAUCUUACAGUCCACCGCUCUACCAACUGAGCUAUCAAGGUGCGCUCUAGUCGCAAGUGCAGAAAACAUAGUGGCUUCGAAGACACACUAUGCCCACAGAACUAUUCCAACCCAUGGUCAAUGAAAAGCCCAGCCCUACCUGACGAACAAAGCUUUGCAGUUUGUACCCAACAGUCAUUGCCAGGGACCCAGAACUGAUAAUCAGGACUUUUAGGCUGGGUGAAUAAAAAAUUGAUGGUUGAAAAUUGAAGAAAGAGUUAUAUUGUUUGUGUUUUUACAUUUUGGAGGAGUUGACAGAUAAAGACAAGGCUUGGGGGUAUUUCCAAUGACAAGGAGGUGCUUCCGGCUGGAGUUGAACCAGCGACCUUAGGAUCACAGCGUUUCACACAAGGAGCAUCUUACAGUCCACCGCUCUACCAACUGAGCUAUCAAGGUGCUCUCUAGUCACAAGUGCAGAAAACAUAGUGGCUUCGAAGACACACUAUGCCCACAGAACUAUUCCAACCCAUGGUCAAUGAAAAGCCCAGCCCUACCUGACGAACAAAGCUUUGCAGUUUGUACCCAACAGUCAUUGCCAGGGACCCAGAACUGAUAAUCAGGACUUUUAGGCUGGGUGAAUAAAAAAUUGAUGGUUGAAAAUUUAAGAAAGAGUUAUCUUGUUUGUGUUUUUACAUUUUGGAGGAGUUGACAGAUAAAGACAAGGCUUGGGGGUAUUUCGAAUGACAAGGAGGUGCUUCCGGCUGGAGUUGAACCAGCGACCUUAGGAUCACAGCGUUUCACACAAGGAGCAUCUUACAGUCCACCGCUCUACCAACUGAGCUAUCAAGGUGCUCUCUAGUCACAAGUGCAGAAAACAUAGAGGCUUCGAAGACACACUAUGCCCACAGAACUAUUCCAACCCAUGGUCAAUGAAAAGCCCAGCCCUACCUGACGAACAAAGCUUUGCAGUUUGUACCCAACAGUCAUUGCCAGGGACCCAGAACUGAUAAUCAGGACUUUUAGGCUGGGUGAAUAAAAAAUUGAUGGUUGAAAAUUUAAGAAAGUGUCAUCUUGUUUGUGUUUUUACAUUUUGGAGGAGUUGACAGAUAAAGACAAGGCUUGGGGGUAUUUCCAAUGACAAGGAGGUGCUUCCGGCGGAAUUGAACCAGCGAGCUUAGGAUCACAGCGUUUCACACAAGGAGCAUCUUACAGUCCACCGCUGUACCAACUGAGCUAUCAAGGUGCUCUCUAGUCGCAAGUGCAGAAAACAUAGUGGCUUCGGAGACAAACUAUGCCCACAGAACUAUUCCAACCCAUGGUCAAUGAAAAGCCCAGCCCUACCUGCAGAACAAAGCUUUGCAGUUUGUACCCAACAGUCAUUGCCAGGGACCCAGAACUGAUAAUCAGAACUUUUAGGCUGGGUGAAUAAAAAAUUGAUGGUUGAAAAUUUAAGAAAGAGUUAUCUUGUUUGUGUUUUUACAUUUUGGAGGAGUUGACAGAUAAAGACAAGGCUUGGGGGUAUUUCCAAUGACAAGGAGGUGCUUCCGGCUGGAGUUGAACCAGUGACCUUAGGAUCACAGCGUUUCACACAAGGAGCAUCUUACAGUCCACCGCUCUACCAAAUGAGCUAACAAGGUGCUCUAUAAUCACAAGUGCAGAAAACAUAGUGGCUUCGAAGACACACUAUGCCCACAGAACUAUUCCAACCCAUGGUCAAUGAAAAGCCCAGCCCUACCUGCAGAACAAAGCUUUGCAGUUUGUACCCAACAGUCAUUGCCAGGGACCCAGAACUGAUAAUCAGGACUUUUAGGCUGGGUGAAUAAAAAAUUGAUGGUUGAAAAUUUAAGAAAGAGUUAUCUUGUUUGUGUUUUUACAUUUUGGAGGAGUUGACAGAUAAAGACAAGGCUUGGGGGUAUUUCCAAUGACAAGGAGGUGCUUCCGGCUGGAGUUGAACCAGCGACCUUAGGAUCACAGCGUUUCACACAAGGAGCAUCUAACAGUCCACCGCUCUACCAACUGAGCUAUCAAGGUGCUCUAUACUCACAAGUGCAGAAAACAUAGUGGCUUCGAAGACACACUAUGCCCACAGAACUAUUCCAACCCAUGGUCAAUGAAAAGCCCAGCCCUACCUGCAGAACAAAGCUUUGCAGUUUGUACCCAACAGUCAUUGCCAGGGACCCAGAACUGAUAAUCAGGACUUUUAGGCUGGGUGAAUAAAAAAUUGAUGGUUGAAAAUUUAAGAAAGAGUUAUCUUGUUUGUGAUUUUUACAUUUUGGAGGAGUUGACAGAUAAAGACAAGGCUUGGGGGUAUUUCCAAUGACAAGGAGGUGCUUCCGGCUGGAGUUGAACAAGCGACCUUAGGAUCACAGCGUUUCACACAAGGAGCAUCUUACAGUCCACCGCUCUACCAAAUGAGCUAACAAGGUGCUCUAUAAUCACAAGUGCAGAAAACAUAGUGGCUUCGAAGACACACUAUGCCCACAGAACUAUUCCAACCCAUGGUCAAUGAAAAGC